This 253-nucleotide ribosomal RNA is filed under the name uncultured bacterium. Its description in RNAcentral is "partial 16S ribosomal RNA". It matches the Rfam family "Bacterial small subunit ribosomal RNA", at positions 524 to 776 of the family's 1533-position model. The record is from RNAcentral.
UACGUAGGGGGCAAGCGUUGUCCGGAAUUAUUGGGCGUAAAGAGCUCGUAGGCGGUCUGUUGCGUCCGCUGUGAAAACUCGGGGCUUAACCCUGGGCUGGCAGUGGAUACGGACAGACUAGAGGUAGGUAGGGGAGAAUGGAAUUCCCGGUGUAGCGGUGAAAUGCGCAGAUAUCGGGAGGAACACCGGUGGCGAAGGCGGUUCUCUGGGCCGAUACUGACGCUGAGGAGCGAAAGCGUGGGGAGCGAACAGG